GGACCUGACUGCUAUCGGAUUGAUACUAAGCCAUGCGAGUCUUUGUAGUAAUACAAGGCAGACGGCUCAGUAACGCGUAGUCAACCUACCCUAUGGACGGGAAUAACCUCGGGAAACUGAGUAUAAUGCCCGAUAGAACAUUAUACCUGGAAUGGUUUAUGUUCCAAAUGAUUUAUCGCCGUAGGAUGGGACUGCGGCCUAUCAGUUUGUUGGUGAGGUAAUGGCCCACCAAGACUAUUACAGGUACGGGCUCUGAGAGGAGUGGCCCGGAGAUGGGUACUGAGACACGGACCCAGGCCCUAUGGGGCGCAGCAGGCGAGAAAACUUUGCAAUGUGCGAAAGCACGACAAGGUUAAUCCGAGUGGUUUCUGCUAAAGGAACCUUUUGUCAGUCCUAGAAACACUGAUGAAUAAGGGGUGGGCAAGUUCUGGUGU
RNAcentral lists this ribosomal RNA (434 nucleotides) under uncultured archaeon. RNAcentral describes it as "bacterial SSU rRNA". It matches the Rfam family "Archaeal small subunit ribosomal RNA", at positions 19 to 458 of the family's 1478-position model. The record is from RNAcentral.